RNAcentral lists this transfer RNA (72 nucleotides) under Candidatus Roizmanbacteria bacterium. RNAcentral's name for it is "tRNA-Thr". It matches the Rfam family "tRNA". From Rfam's summary of the family: Transfer RNA (tRNA) molecules are approximately 80 nucleotides in length. Lineage: Bacteria; Candidatus Roizmaniibacteriota. The record is from RNAcentral.
GCCCGGAUGGCUCAGUGGUAGAGCGAGUUCUUGGUAAGAACUAGGCCGCGGGUUCGAUUCCCGCUUCGGGCU